This 1464-nucleotide ribosomal RNA is filed under the name uncultured Bordetella sp. RNAcentral describes it as "partial 16S-23S ribosomal RNA intergenic spacer". It matches the Rfam family "Bacterial small subunit ribosomal RNA". Lineage: Bacteria; Pseudomonadati; Pseudomonadota; Betaproteobacteria; Burkholderiales; Alcaligenaceae. The record is from RNAcentral.
GUUCGAUUAUGGCUCAGAUUGAACGCUGGCGGGAUGCUUUACACAUGCAAGUCGAACGGCAGCACAGACUUCGGUCUGGUGGCGAGUGGCGAACGGGUGAGUAAUGUAUCGGAACGUGCCUAGUAGCGGGGGAUAACUACGCAGAAAGCGUAGCUAAUGCCGCAUACGCCCUUCGGGGGAAAGCGGGGGACCUUCGGGCCUCGCACUAUUAGAGCAGCCGAUAUCGGAUUAGCUAGUUGGUGGGGUAACGGCUCACCAGGCGAUCCGUUAGCUGGUUUGAAGGACGACCAGCCACACUGGGACUGAGACACGGCCCAGACUCCUACGGGGAGAGGCAGCAGUGGGGAAUUUUGGACAAUGGGGAAACCUGAUCCAGCCAUCCCGCGUGUGCGAUGAAGGCCUUCGGGUUGUAAAGCACUUUUGGCAGGAAAGAAACGGCGCGGGAUAAUACCCCGUGCGCUGACGGUACCUGCAGAAUAAGCACCGGCUAACUACGUGCCAGCAGCCGCGGUAAUCGUAGGGUGCAAGCGUUAAUCGGAAUUACUGGGCGUAAAGCGUGCGCAGGCGGUUCGGGAAAGAAGAUGUGAAAUCCCAGAGCUUAACUUUGAGUCACUGCAUUUUUAACUACCGAGCUAGAGUGUGUCAGAGGGAGGUGGAAUUCCGCGUGUAGCAGUGAAAUGCGUAGAUAUGCGGAGGAACACAGGCGCGAGGCAGCCUCCUGGGAUAACACUGACGCUCAUGCACGAAAGCGUGGGGAGCAAACAGGAUUAGAUACCCUGGUAGUCCACGCCCUAAACAAAUGUCAACUAGCUGUUGGGGCCUUCGGGCCUUGGUAGCGCAACUAACGCGUGAAGUUGACCGCCUGGGGAAGAUACAGUCGCAAGAUUAAAACUCAAAGGAAUUGACGGGGACCCGCACAAGCGGUGGAUGAUGUGGAUUAAUUCGAUGCUUGCAGAAAAACGCCACCUACCCUUGACAUGUCUGGAAUCCCGAAGAGAUUUGGAGUGCUCGCAAGAGAACCGGAACACAGGUGCUGCAUGGCUGUCGUCAGCUCGUGUCCGUGAGAUAUUGGGUUAGUCCCGCAACGAGCGCAACCCUUGUCAUUAGUUGCUACGAAGGGCACUCUAAUGAGACUGCCGGUGACAAACCGGAGGAAGGUGGGGAUGACGUCAGAUCCUCAUAGCCCUUAUGGGUAGGGCUUCACGUCUUCGUGGUGAUCAGAACAGAGAGGUCGUAACCCACGAGAGACUUGUCAGAAACCCGAUCGUAGUCCGGAUGCAGUCUGCAACUCGACUGCUGAAGUCGGAAUCGCUAGUAAUCGCGGAUCAGCAUGUCGCUGAUGAUACGUUCCCGGGUCUUGUACACACCGCCCGUCACACCAUGGAGUGGUUUUACAGUGAUUGCAACUAACUGUGGAGGCGUUACCAGUACAGUUCAUGACUGAGGUGAAGUCAUGUCAGGUAG